CUGUCUGAACGACAAAUACAAAGAAAAAAAAAAAAAAAAAGAUUGGCAGAAAGUGGUUUCAUUUAACGAGAAAAUGCGAAAUGCGAGUUGAUUCAAUAUAGGUUUUCGAUGUGAACCACACGAGGAGGAAUAUGAUCCGUAAAAUUCCCGCAGACCAAGACGACAAGCGUCAUUGCAAGGACAACGAGUUCGUUGAAGAGAGGUUUUCGCGUGCUGCAAAAACAAAGCUGGACCGUAGAUUCGCAGGGAACGGAAUUUACGUAAGAAACCCGUCGAAGCCGAACUUGGAUCCGGGAGUUAGGAUAUGGUGGGAAAUAUUCUCACGCGGAGCGUUCAUCGCCGCAAUCAAGCAAAAAGCGUCCGGUAUUCAGUCCGCAGUUUUCCUAACUGCACAUUUUCGUUGAAAUUUCAAAUGAAUGGCAAAAGUAAGCAGUUGGCAAGAAAUUCAACCUUUUGUCAAAUACAAAUUUCUCUCACAAUGUGAA
This is a long non-coding RNA of Aedes aegypti (yellow fever mosquito), 485 nucleotides long. RefSeq lists it as uncharacterized. The record is from RefSeq and is a predicted model, not a curated record. Lineage: Eukaryota; Metazoa; Arthropoda; Insecta; Diptera; Culicidae. The transcript is spliced from 2 exons.